CGUCACUGAUCCUAAAAUGUCUUUAGAUGUUGGAUCAAGGAGUAUCCGAUACUGAUAAAUAUAAAGAAACAUCUCUGCAAAAAUACUUUCAUAGCUAUGAGUUUAUGCUCAACAGAUACAAGUUAGGAAGUGUUGACUACAAAGUUACACUCAGUGGCCAAGAGUCAAUGUUGUUUCUAGAUCAUUUAUCAUCUAAGAAUAAUAACUCCCUCCAUAAGAACGCAAAUUGUUACUUCAAAAGUUCGACAAAAUUCAACUAUGCACUUAUGUUGGAACCCUCAGAUAAAAUCUUUCACAAGGACACAUAUGUUACCUUUAUAAUCAUGUGAAGCAAU
This 335-nucleotide unclassified non-coding RNA is filed under the name Zea mays. RNAcentral's name for it is "misc RNA Zm00001eb418190". Lineage: Eukaryota; Viridiplantae; Streptophyta; Magnoliopsida; Poales; Poaceae. The record is from RNAcentral.